Molecule: small RNA, 78 nt
Filed under: Flavobacterium branchiophilum
Lineage: Bacteria; Pseudomonadati; Bacteroidota; Flavobacteriia; Flavobacteriales; Flavobacteriaceae
Description: Flavo-1 RNA
Rfam family: Flavo-1 RNA
Source: Rfam by way of RNAcentral
CCCUAGCCCAGAUAGUAGUGGAAAUCCUUUUGUGCCAGGGUUUGGCACAAAAGAUUGCAACGGAUAGCUGGAAAUGGC